Molecule: long non-coding RNA, 2280 nt
Organism: Cyprinus carpio carpio
Lineage: Eukaryota; Metazoa; Chordata; Actinopteri; Cypriniformes; Cyprinidae
Source: Ensembl
GACUAUAACCCCUACCCAAAUCCCAAAUCAAACUAACUGGGACAUGGUCACUUAAGGUUAUGUUAUGUAUUUUACAAUCUAGGACUCUGUAAGACUCAUUUUUAGCAACAAAGAAAUAAUCAAUCCUGCUAUAUGAGGAGUGUGGGUUUGAAUAGAACAUGUAAUCCCAGAUCCUUCACCAUUUGUUUUAGAAUCCUACUGGUCCCUGAAAGCGUGGCAAAUGAUGGUGGGUUUUUAUCCAUCCUAUUUGACAAAAUGCAAUUAAAAUUACCUCCAAUCAAAAUGAUUCCUUUAGCUUUUUCUAUAAUCAUUUCACUAAUUUUCUUAAAAAAUUUAGGAUUGCUUUCAUUUGGAGCAUAGAUAUUCAGCAUAGAGACAUUCACACCACAGAUGGAUCCAUUUACCAAAAUAAAUCUCCCUUCUUUAUCAGUAAUUUCUGAGUGUAAACAAAACUGCAGUGAACUGUGCAACAAUAUUGCCACUCCACGCCUUCUCCCUGAACCAUGAGAUGAAAAAUACACUUGGCUGGCCCAUGACCUUUUAAGUUUCAUAUGUUAAGAGUCUGAUAGGUGGCUUUCUUGUAUAAAGGCUAUAGUACAGUUAAGAUGUUUAAGCUCAUUGAGAAUUUUUUUCCUUUUUAUGGGGUUAUGUAAGCCCUUAACAUUAUAGCUAAUUACUCUUAUGCUAUCCAUUAACGCUUACGUAUGCAAACCAUUUAUCACACAUUGCAGUUCUUUUAUGUUCUUGGGGCUCAUUGUUAUACAUAUCCUAUGUUGUAAAAUAAAACAUUAACACGAACACUGUAACUAUAUACAUGAUAACAUUUUGCAUCCAGACUUCCAAUUUAUUCACCCAUAAACAUAUGAGUUUUCCUUGCAGUAACAUUAACAAAACCAUAUAAAGCACUUGAGAGAAAAUGUUUUGCAAGGAAGUGAAGGAUUAUCCAGAACCUCCAUAAGACUGGGCCUUGACUGCAAGUUCGUUAUUGCAGUCCCGCAGUAAAUCUGUGUCCCCUCCGACCAUCACAGAUGUCCUGCGUUUAUGUCUCCCACUCUCAUCGCCAGAAUUUUUGAAAUAAAAAAAAAUAGAAAAAAUAAAAAUAAAAAAUGAUCCUUUAUCCGCCAAUGAAGAGGAUUUAGUGCCAUUGCCUUUACACCCAUAAAGUCAUCCAACAAGUUAGAAACCAAUGAAAAAUGCCUAUGAAAACAGCAAGUAGUAGCUUACCUCCCUAAUAUAGUCGAGCAGCAAGUUAUUAUUACGGGAGAGCAGGGAAGAAAGUGAGCAGCAGAAAAACGUCAUGAAAGAGAUGUCACCAUAGCUUCAUCAUGCGUCCCCUCCCAGACCAUUAAUGAACUUAUAGACUGCAGUAGGCGUGUUGAAAGUGUGUGUGCGUCCUUCGUGGGUCACAAGCAACUUGGCUGGAAAAAGCAUCCUGUGUUUGUCAACUCCCUUCUCCCUCAACUUCUGUCGCACUUCAUAGAAGUCUCGCUGUUUUUUAUAUACUUCAACCGAUAGAUCCGGGGGGAACCUGAUGCUGUUAUUCUUGUAGAUCAACUGGCCUUUUGCUCUUGAUGCUCUCCAUAUGUGCUCCUUGUCUCGAUGGUUUAGAAACUUCACAAUGAAGGUUCGCGGGGAGGAAGUGGGGGCGCUCGUCGAUCCGGUAAUGCGAUCAUCUGCCUUCGUGUCCAAAAACUUCACCUUUCUUUCCAAUGCGCUGACUUUUGUCUGCAGGCCGCUAAUUGAAUCCUCCACCGAGGAUACCCGCUCUUUAGCCUGUGUGAUGCGCCCGUUGCACUCGUGUAUGUUCGCCUGAACAUCCUUAAUAGCUGUUAACACACCACUAAUUUCUGUAUGAAAUUCAUGUUUGAGGGAUUUGAUGGCUUGCAUAAUAUCAGCCCUGGUUACAUUGUUCACCUGCGCGCUGUCCGUGUCCACCGACAUGGCGUCUGCUUCACUGUGUUCGGGUUCUGAGACACUGUCCUCGCUAGCUUGAAAGUCCAGAGAGUUUUUUUAUACUUGUUCUUUGAUACUCCCCUGGGCAUGUUUAACUUGCAAUGACAUUAGGUUGACUUUAAGUUGUUUUAGAAUAGGAGUUGGGUGGUUUUGCAGCGAUAAUCUGAAGUUCAGCGACAGAGGGCGGAGAAAUACUUGGCUGUAUGUCACGUCACUUUCACUUUCUAUAUAAUCAUGUAUGUGAUGAAUAAAAAUCUUGAAUCUUGUUUACCAGUUCUAUUGAUCAAUAUUACAAUUGUAUGCAACUAACAAAUCUGUAUACUGUCG